GGGAGCUUAGCUCAGCUGGGAGAGCAUCUGCCUUACAAGCAGAGGGUC
RNAcentral lists this transfer RNA (48 nucleotides) under Clostridiales bacterium. Its description in RNAcentral is "tRNA-Val". It matches the Rfam family "tRNA", at positions 1 to 46 of the family's 71-position model. From Rfam's summary of the family: Transfer RNA (tRNA) molecules are approximately 80 nucleotides in length. Their secondary structure includes four short double-helical elements and three loops (D, anti-codon, and T loops). Lineage: Bacteria; Bacillati; Bacillota; Clostridia; Eubacteriales. The record is from RNAcentral.